This 1221-nucleotide long non-coding RNA is filed under the name Oncorhynchus mykiss (rainbow trout). RNAcentral's name for it is "lncRNA (ENSOMYG00000054249.1)". Lineage: Eukaryota; Metazoa; Chordata; Actinopteri; Salmoniformes; Salmonidae. The record is from RNAcentral.
AUGAACACGUACCACGCUGCACCUUGGACUCCUUCUUCAUCAGACGAGCGUUACAGAACUACCCACCACAAAUGGACCAAGCAGCGUGGUAACGAGGAGCAGAGGGUUCAGGACUCCUGGACUUGCGAGGAGAUAUUGGACGGACAGGGACCCUGGAGACAGGCUGGGGAAUAUUUCCGCUCGAAGGAAGAACUAGAGGCAGCGAAAGCUGAGGCGACGAUAAGAGGUAAGGCAGCGCAGCAGGCACGAGAGGCAGCAGGGAGAUUGGCGGAAUCAGGCGAUAGACCUGAGCCAACUCCCCGUGCUUACCGGUCUCCAGUGUGCGCUCAUAUCCCGGAGCGCUAUAUGCCAGCCCCCCGCAAGUGCCAUGCGAGAGUGGGCAUCCAGCCAGGGCGGAAUGUGCCAGCUCAGCGUGUUUGGUCUCCGGUGCGCCGUUUCGGCCUAGGGUAUCCUCCACCGGCUCUGCGUACUGUGUCUCCGGGGCGUUGGGAGGGUUCAGUUUGUCCUAUGCCUGCGCUCCGCCGGUGCUGGGCGAAAGUGGGCAUUGAGCCUAAUGGAGAGGUGCGAGUGUUAAGCACCAGAUCUCCAGUGCUCUCCCACAGCCCGGUUCGACCUGUGCCUGCACUCUGGAGGGGCCGGGCUAAAGUGGUCAUUCAGCCUGGAGGAGUGGUGCCAAGGCUGCGCACCAGAGCUCCAGUGCUCCCCCACAGCCCUGUUCAUCCGGUGCCUCCUCUACACACCAGGCCUCCUGUAGUUCUCCCCAGCCUGGUGGGCCCUGUGGCAGCCCCACGCUCCAGGCUGUCUCGACGUCUCCUCCCUCCAGAGUCUUCCUCCAGUCCGGAGCCUCUAGAGGCGCCCUUCAGUCCGGAGCUUCCAGAGGCGCCCUUCAGUCCGGAGCUUCCAGAGGCGCCCUUCAGUCCGGAGCUUCCAGAGGCGCCCUUCAGUCCGGAGCUUCCAGAGGCGCCCUUCAGUCCGGAGCUUCCAGAGGCGCCCUUCAGUCCGGAGCUUCCAGAGGCGCCCUUCAGUCCGGAGCUUCCAGAGGCGCCCUUCAGUCCGGAGCUUCCUGUGGCGCCUUUCAGUCCGGAGCUUCCAGAGGCGCCCUCCAGUCCGGGGCCCACUACAAGGGUCCCCAGUCCGGCCCCCGCAAUGAGGGCCCCCAGUCCGAUGCCCGCUACGAGGGUCCCAAGUCCGGGGUCGGCGGCGAGGAUCCGUGCCACCUAA